GCGGCGCUGGCUUCGCGGCCGGGCUCGUGAUGCCUCGGGGCUUCGGCCCCGGGGCACGCGGCCCCCGCGUUGCGUCCGGCGUCGUCGGCGUGCACUUCUCCCCUAGUAGGACGUCGCGACCCGUUGGGUGUCGACCUAAGGCCCGGGUGGGCGCCUGUCGCGUCUCGCUUAAACGCUUGCGCGGCAAACCCCCGGUCGCCAGACGUGUCGGCUGCCCGGCGGUACUCGCAUGGUAUCGGGCCGCAAAUUAUUCGAACUGCGUCGAGGCGCGGUCCCAACGGCGGUCAGCGAUCUACGCGUUGGUACGGACAUAGCGCCGUCCUCGUGCCUGGCAUGCCGUUGGCAGAACCUGCGUCCUUCGACGGGCCAACACCUAAAAAUGUCGAAAGUGUGAUACCGGUCGGCGACGCUACUGCUUUGGGUAAUCUCGGGACCCGUCUUGAAACACGGACCAAGGAGUCUAACAUGUGCGCGAGUCAUUGGGACCGAGCAAGCCUAAAGGCGAAAUGAAAGUGAAGGUCGGCCAUUCGCGCCGACCGAGGGAGGAUGGGCCGCGUCACGAUGCGGCUCCGCACUCCCGGGGCGUCUCGCUCUCAUCGCGAGGAGAGGCGCACCCAGAGCGUACACGUUGGGACCCGAAAGAUGGUGAACUAUGCCUGGUCAGGACGAAGUCAGGGGAAACCCUGAUGGAGGUCCGUAGCGAUU
Molecule: ribosomal RNA, 705 nt
Filed under: Eleganesia elegans
Lineage: Eukaryota; Metazoa; Arthropoda; Insecta; Hymenoptera; Bethylidae
Description: partial 28S ribosomal RNA
Rfam family: Eukaryotic large subunit ribosomal RNA (bases 289-705)
Source: RNAcentral